RNAcentral lists this ribosomal RNA (620 nucleotides) under uncultured bacterium. RNAcentral's name for it is "SSU rRNA". It matches the Rfam family "Bacterial small subunit ribosomal RNA", at positions 242 to 878 of the family's 1533-position model. The record is from RNAcentral.
CAGCUAGUUGGUAGGGGAAGAGCCUACCAAGGCGACGAUCGGUAGCUGGUCUGAGAGGACGAUCAGCCACACUGGGAUUGAGAACGGCCCAGACUCCUACGGGGGGCAGCAGUGAGGAAUUUUCCGCAAUGGGGGCAACCCUGACGGAGCAACGCCGCGUGCAGGAGGACGCUUUUCGGAGUGUAAACUGCUUUUCUGUGGGACGAGAAUGGACGGUACCACAGGAAGAAGCCCCGGCUAACUACGUGCCAGCAGCCGCGGUAAUACGUAGGGGGCGAGCGUUGUCCGGAGUUACUGGGCGUAAAGGGCAUGCAGGCGGUCGGACGCGUUUUGUGUGACAGCGGAUGGCUUAACUAUCCGAGGAUACGAAAGACGGUUUGACUUGAGGGCUCGAGAGGGACACGGAAUUCCGGGUGGAGUGGUGAAAUGCGUAGAGAUCCGGAGGAACACCAAAGGCGAAGGCAGUGUCCUGGCGAGUACCUGACGCUGAGGUGCGAAAGCUAGGGGAGCGAACGGGAUUAGAUACCCCGGUAGUCCUAGCCGUAAACGAUGACCACCAGGUGUGGGAGGUAUCGACCCCUUCCGUGCCGGAGGAAACCCACUAAGUGGUCCGCCUGGGG